Molecule: non-coding RNA, 301 nt
Organism: Pelobates cultripes (western spadefoot toad)
Lineage: Eukaryota; Metazoa; Chordata; Amphibia; Anura; Pelobatidae
Source: the annotation of a GenBank genome assembly
UGGGAAUUAUGUUCUGGCAGAACCUGGACACCGAUUAACAUGUGCAAAUUACCAAGAGGCUUGGGAACACCCAUGCUGCCCCUGGCACUAGAUGCAAAGAAUGCAAUAGGGUCAACUGAGGACUCUAAAAAGAAACAUUGGGAACAAUUGGCCUCUGAGGCUUCAUGGACAGGGCUACAAGGGUCCAUAACAGUUCUUAGAGGAUACAAUGUGACAAUUUACCACCUACCAUAAUGUAAACAUCAACUCAAUUUGAGAGCUGGUUUAAAGGGACACUAUAGUCACCCAGACCACUUUAUCU